UACUCGAGUGGCGAACGGGUGAGUAACACGUGGGUGAUCUGCCCUGCACUCUGGGAUAAGCCUGGGAAACUGGGUCUAAUACCGGAUAUGACCAACUGUCGCAUGGUGGUUGGUGGAAAGCUUUUGCGGUGUGGGAUGGGCCCGCGGCCUAUCAGCUUGUUGGUGGGGUAAUGGCCUACCAAGGCGACGACGGGUAGCCGACCUGAGAGGGUGAUCGGCCACACUGGGACUGAGACACGGCCCAGACUCCUACGGGAGGCAGCAGUGGGGAAUAUUGCACAAUGGGCGCAAGCCUGAUGCAGCGACGCCGCGUGAGGGAUGACGGCCUUCGGGUUGUAAACCUCUUUCACCAGGGACGAAGCGUGAGUGACGGUACCUGGAGAAGAAGCACCGGCCAACUACGUGCCAGCAGCCGCGGUAAUACGUAGGGUGCGAGCGUUGUCCGGAAUUACUGGGCGUAAAGAGCUCGUAGGCGGUUUGUCGCGUCGUCUGUGAAAUUCUGCAACUCAAUUGCAGGCGUGCAGGCGAUACGGGCAGACUUGAGUACUACAGGGGAGACUGGAAUUCCUGGUGUAGCGGUGAAAUGCGCAGAUAUCAGGAGGAACACCGGUGGCGAAGGCGGGUCUCUGGGUAGUAACUGACGCUGAGGAGCGAAAGCGUGGGUAGCGAACAGGAUUAGAUACCCUGGUAGUCCACGCCGUAAACGGUGGGUACUAGGUGUGGGUUCCUUUUCACGGGAUCCGUGCCGUAGCU
This 753-nucleotide ribosomal RNA is filed under the name Gordonia sp. (in: high G+C Gram-positive bacteria). RNAcentral describes it as "bacterial SSU rRNA". It matches the Rfam family "Bacterial small subunit ribosomal RNA", at positions 88 to 853 of the family's 1533-position model. Lineage: Bacteria; Bacillati; Actinomycetota; Actinomycetes; Mycobacteriales; Gordoniaceae. The record is from RNAcentral.